RNAcentral lists this long non-coding RNA (1633 nucleotides) under Pelobates cultripes (western spadefoot toad). The record is from RNAcentral. Lineage: Eukaryota; Metazoa; Chordata; Amphibia; Anura; Pelobatidae.
AAUUAGGCCCAUCAUAAUUGUCAGCACCAGGCUCACUGGGCUGUUAAUCUGGCCCUGGACAUAGCCAUAGUGAGGUAUUGGGAUAAUGUGGCUUUUUAAUAGAUAGAUAUCAACUAAUUGGCAAACUCCACUUGAGUAGUGAUACAGUAUUCUAGUAAGUGUCUUGAUCGACAUUUGAGCAGUGGACUGAAUUCUGCCCUCCUGGCUGAAUGUCUAGAACUGCCAUUGCAACCUGGACAGAGCCCAUUGUCAUGUUGGGAAAGGGAACAGCAUCCCUGGAGCACCAACCCCUACUAUUGGAGACUUGGAAAUAUCAAAAUACAGUCGUAAUCAAAAUUAUUAAAUUUUUAGUUGAAUUUGGGGAAAACACUUGAAGCAUGUGUUGUGUUAAGCUAUUUGAAUUGCUUUUGUUUAAUUUGUUUGUUGCAAACAGCUGAAAGUCUGUAAAAAUCUAUAAACUUUAUUUUCAAUGAGGGUUGAUACUUUUGAUUACAACUGCAUAUAUAUAAUGAUAUUAUGAAUAGCAUAAUGAUAUCCUUAGGGGACAUUAUCUCAGAUAUCUUUGGGGGGAAAUCCAUUAGAAACCCUGCUCAACUUUGCCAACAAUUUAGGCUGGAUACUUGUAUACAAUAUAAAAGAACAAUGACAUAGCAUAUUCUAACAAAAAAGUAAAGGAUGCCUGACAUGGAUAUCUUUGAACAAAUGUGGAUUGGCACAAGGUUCAAUGUCACACCACAGAGUUCAAUGUCGCAAGGAGCCGGUUAUGUGAGUGCCCUGAGAUCUUUGAAGACCAGAUGUGUAUAAUUGAAGAAUAGAAACAUGGCAAAAUAGAAUCUGACGGCAGAUAAGAACCAUUCGUCCCAUCUAGUCUGCCCAAUAACUCAGGAGAACCAGCCAGUUUCCACUCUGGGGUCACCUUUGGUGGCAAGUGUCGAUGGAUCAAAGGAGUAGACUGCGAUGCCAUCAGGUACCAUUCCGCCAGUUACUUCAUACUUUCACUGUGGGUAGAAAUUGUGUGAAGAAUGCCAAUUGGCCAAAGGAUUAGUUUAGUAGCGUAUCCCCACCGAUAAGGCAGUUGUAGUGAUUGUGAUGAACGUGUGGUGCAAGGUUAGGUGUUCUUCCUCCAGCUUCUGUUACUUAUCUAUCACUUCAUUGUAAUACGUCUGUACAUAGGAUGACUUUCUCUGUCUCCUAGCUUUGUGAAAUCUUUAUAGACUUCUGCCCUAAUUUGUCUAAAGUCUGUUUGGAUGGUGGUUCAAAGAGCUUGAAGCAUGGAAUGUUUACAUUUUCCAGUAAUUGGUACCUCAUCUGAGAAGAGGUGUAGUGUGAUUCUGGCUCCGAUGGAGCCUCAGAGGAGAGCGAUGGUUACUUGCAGUAACUGCUAUCUUAUGAAGGCUUAUGAAUGGAACCUACUUCCCUGAGAGGAUAGGAUACACAAGCUUUAGUUGCUUUGACGGAGCCAUCACGGAAGGUAAGUUGUUGUUUGGCAGAUAUGAAGCAUCAAAGACUAGCUAAAUCUGUAGCUGUGGGCUAAUCCGAUCUCAUAGCUUCACUAACAGUAUUUUUGUAUAUUUUAUUUUUGAUCUUUGCAAUAUGUUUACAUGGCUCAAUAACAGGGGAUAUUAGAUUAGAG